RNAcentral lists this unclassified non-coding RNA (25 nucleotides) under Mus musculus (house mouse). RNAcentral's name for it is "oocyte_clustered_small_RNA7106". The record is from RNAcentral. Lineage: Eukaryota; Metazoa; Chordata; Mammalia; Rodentia; Muridae.
UGCCUGGAGGACUGGUCUGCAGCUA